AACGAACGCUGGCGGCAGGCUUAACACAUGCAAGUCGAACGCCCCGCAAGGGGAGUGGCAGACGUGUGAGUAACACGUGGGAACAUGCCCAAAGGUACGGAAUAUUCUCGGGAAACUGAGAGCAAUACCUUAUGUGCCCGAAAGGUGAAAGAUUUAUCGCCUUUGGAUUGGCCCGCGUCGGAUUAGCUAGUUGGUGGGGUAAAAGCCUACCAAGGCGACGAUCCGUAGCUGGUCUGAGAGGACGACCAGCCACACUGGGACUGAGACACGGCCCAGACUCCUACGGGAGGAAGCAGUGGGGAAUCUUGGACAAUGGGCGCAAGCCUGAUCCAGCCAUGCCGCGUGGAUGAUGAAGGCCCUAGGGUUGUAAAAUCCUUUCGUUGGGGACGAUAAUGACGGUACCCAAAGAAGAAGCUCCGGCUAACUUCGUG
This 431-nucleotide ribosomal RNA is filed under the name uncultured bacterium. RNAcentral describes it as "partial 16S ribosomal RNA". It matches the Rfam family "Bacterial small subunit ribosomal RNA", at positions 29 to 507 of the family's 1533-position model. The record is from RNAcentral.